UACGGAGGGUGCAAGCGUUAUCCGGAAUCACUGGGUUUAAAGGGUGCGUAGGCGGCUUAGUAAGUCAGUGGUGAAAGGCUGUGGCUUAACCAUGGGAUUGCCAUUGAUACUGCUGAGCUUGAAUCAGGUUGAGGUUGGCGGAAUGUGACAUGUAGCGGUGAAAUGCUUAGAUAUGUCAUGGAACACCGAUUGCGAAGGCAGCUGACUGGACCUGUAUUGACGCUGAGGAACGAAAGCGUGGGGAGCGAACAGG
Molecule: ribosomal RNA, 253 nt
Filed under: uncultured bacterium
Lineage: Bacteria
Description: partial 16S ribosomal RNA
Rfam family: Bacterial small subunit ribosomal RNA
Source: RNAcentral